CAAAAGUGUAAGAAGAAAUCUAGGUUGCCUCCUAGUAGCGCUUGUUUAACUUCACGAGCCUGACCCAAACCUGUUUAGCACUUGUCAGUAAGUGCAAUUCCAUCCACCACCCAUCAGUAGGUGCGCCUUCCGGAUAUCCUUCAAUGGAUACCGAAAACCUUCUAGCAUCCCUCAAUAGAUGUUAAUCAUUACUGCCAUCAGAAGCAGCGCAUAACCAAAAAUAAAAAAAUAAUAAAUAAAUAAAUAAAUAAAUAAAAUAAAGUAAUAUAAAAUAAAAUAAAAUAAAAUCAAAUCAAAUCAAAUCAAAACGAAAUAAAAGAUAAAAAAAAUUCAGAAACUGGGUUGCCUCCCAGCAAGCGCUCUUUUAACGUCAUUAGCUUGACCCGGUAGAGUUCAAACGGCUAUCAGUAGGUGUUGAUACUCCCUUUUGCUUGCUAUUCUUUUCUUUUUCUUCUUUCUGCUGAAUUUCUUCAGAAAAUUAAGAACUCCAAGCACCUGUUUCCAUGUUUCAAUCAUAGGAACUUUAGUCUCCAAUUUCUUGAAGAUCGCCAACUUGAACUUAUUUCUCUUCCUAUGAUUUUUAUUUUUAUGAGGAAGAUGUUUUUGAUGUGAUCUUUUCUUCUUUCCUCUCUUCCUCUUUUUCUCAACCUUCUCCUUCUUCCACUUUCUUUUUUUCUUUUUUCUUAUUUUUUUCUUUUU
This 699-nucleotide long non-coding RNA is filed under the name Vigna radiata. RNAcentral describes it as "long non-coding RNA (VRAD_LNC013159)". The record is from RNAcentral. Lineage: Eukaryota; Viridiplantae; Streptophyta; Magnoliopsida; Fabales; Fabaceae.